AUUGAACGCUGGCGGCAUGCCUUACACAUGCAAGUCGAACGGCAGCAUGGGUGCUUGCACCUGAUGGCGAGUGGCGAACGGGUGAGUAAUGCAUCGGAACGUACCCGGAAGUGGGGGAUAACGUAGCGAAAGUUACGCUAAUACCGCAUAUUCUGUGAGCAGGAAAGCGGGGGACUCGCAAGAGCCUCGCGCGAUUGGAGCGGCCGAUGGCAGAUUAGGUAGUUGGUGGGGUAAAGGCCCACCAAGCCUGCGAUCUGUAGCUGGUCUGAGAGGACGACCAGCCACACUGGGACUGAGACACGGCCCAGACUCCUACGGGAGGCAGCAGUGGGGAAUUUUUGGACAAUGGGCGAAAGCCUGAUCCAGCCAUACCGCGUGCGGGAAGAAGGCCUCGGUUGGUAAGACGUACUUCGGUCCGGGUACGGAAACGUACGACGACAGGCGUAAGUACCUUACGUCGUGGUAGUGACGGUACGGAACGUAAAGAAGACGACGGACCGUAACUACCGUACGACCG
RNAcentral lists this ribosomal RNA (517 nucleotides) under uncultured bacterium. RNAcentral describes it as "bacterial SSU rRNA". It matches the Rfam family "Bacterial small subunit ribosomal RNA", at positions 29 to 528 of the family's 1533-position model. The record is from RNAcentral.